GGGCAGCAUACACUUCGGUGUGAUGGCGACCGGCGAACGGGUGCGUAACGCGUAUGCAAUCUGCCUUGUACAGGAGGAUAGCUUCUGGAAACGGAAGUUAAUACUCCAUAUUAUCUUUUUGUCGCAUGACAGUAAGAUGAAAGCUCCGGCGGUACAAGAUGAGCAUGCGUCCCAUUAGUUUGUUGGUAGGGUAAAGGCCUACCAAGACUAUGAUGGGUAGGGGGUCUGAGAGGAUGAUCCCCCACACUGGCACUGAGAUACGGGCCAGACUCCUACGGGAGGCAGCAGUAGGGAAUAUUGGUCAAUGGGCGCAAGCCUGAACCAGCCAUGCCGCGUGCAGGAUUGAAGGUCCUUAGGAUUGUAAACUGCUUUUUUAUGGGAGCAAUAACUUCUUGCGAGGAGCAUUGAGAGUACCAUAAGAAUAAGCACCGGCUAACUCCGUGCCAGCAGCCGCGGUAAUACGGAGGGUGCAAGCGUUAUCCGGAUUUAUUGGGUUUAAAGGGUACGUAGGUGGCAGAGUCAGUCAGUGGUGAAAGCCAACAGCUUAACUGUUGAAUUGCCGUUGAUACUGCUUUGCCUGAGUUCAGUCGAGGUAAGUGGAAUUCCGUGUGUAGUGGUGAAAUGCUUAGAUAUACGGAGGAACGCCGAUAACGAAAGUAGCUUACUAGGCUGUAACUGACGCUGAGGUACGAAAGCGUGGGGAGCGAACGGGAUUAGAGACCCCGGUAGUCCACGCUGUAAACGAUGAUCACUCGAUGUAUACUUUCUGAAAGUAUGUAUCUAAGCGAAAGCGUUAAGUGA
Molecule: ribosomal RNA, 801 nt
Filed under: uncultured bacterium
Lineage: Bacteria
Description: bacterial SSU rRNA
Rfam family: Bacterial small subunit ribosomal RNA
Source: RNAcentral